Molecule: transfer RNA, 75 nt
Filed under: Methanocaldococcus villosus KIN24-T80
Lineage: Archaea; Methanobacteriati; Methanobacteriota; Methanococci; Methanococcales; Methanocaldococcaceae
Description: tRNA-Arg
Rfam family: tRNA
About the family: Transfer RNA (tRNA) molecules are approximately 80 nucleotides in length. Their secondary structure includes four short double-helical elements and three loops (D, anti-codon, and T loops).
Source: RNAcentral
AGCCUGGUGGGGUAGGGGAAAUCCUACAGGACUUCGGAUCCUGUGACCCGGGUUCAAAUCCCGGCCAGGGCGCCA